Molecule: long non-coding RNA, 10401 nt
Filed under: Triticum aestivum (bread wheat)
Lineage: Eukaryota; Viridiplantae; Streptophyta; Magnoliopsida; Poales; Poaceae
Description: long non-coding RNA (TAES_LNC023941)
Source: RNAcentral
CCGCCGUCAGCGCACUCCGGCGCUACCCCGAGCUGCGCCAGGACGUCUGGCUCCUCCGCCGUCGUCGUCUACAUCUCCUCAUCACGCUGGAUGGAGCCGAGCCGCUCCAUCACCGCCAACACCUCCGUCUUCUACCUCGGGCGGCUGAAAUUGCUACGGACUGCUCGUCGUCUCCGGGCCUUCCACGGGCCUUCUCUGCAACGCCGGUGAGCUCCGGCUCCCUUCUCUCCAUUGGCGCCUUCCUCCGCGUUCGUAGCCGUAUUCGUCGUAGUUACCGUACCUGCCGCCGCGGUCGAGCUCGGUUGCCUGUGUCGAAGCUAUGCAUCUGCGCGCGCGCGCCCGCCCCUGACCCCGCGGCUACCUGCCUCUGCGCCCACACCGUCAUCGCUCGCCGCACGCUGCUAGCUGCUCCGCUCGCCAUGCCUCGCAUCGCCCGUGCCGCGUCGUCCCGCUCGCCCCUUCUUCCGCUUCCUCUGCCCGCCGCAGCCGGACCUGCCCGAUACGGCUGCUCGACCUGCUGUUGCUGCUGCCGCGGCCCCGCACAGCCGCGUGCGUGCCCAGCCACCGCCGCGCCCAUGCCCGGUGCCCGCUCGUCAGCCCCGCACCGGCGCCCGCCCUUGCUGCUCUGCGCUGCUGCAGCUUAUGAUGCUAACCGCCGCCGACUGCAGCUCGUCUGAGCUCCUGCUCGCGCGCCCGCCUUCGCCUCCCACGCGUGCUCGUCGGGGCCCGUAGCCCCCACUGCCGUCGCCGCCCCCCACUGCUCCGCUCGCGACGCCGCGCCUGUUCGCCCCCUCCUGCCGCGCUUGCCUGGCCCAGGCCGCGCCUGUUCGCCCCCUCCCACCGCUCGCCGGUGCUGGCCGCCCCCCCGACCUCGCCGGCUGCCGGCGCCCUGCCGCGCCCUGGUGGCCAUCGCCGGCCACGGCUUCGCCCGUGUGUUCGGGCGGGCGCCCACACCCUCUUGCCCGAUAGCCAGCGCCCGCUAUGGCCUCUGGCCCAAUGCCAGGUGGGCCCCAGCCCGGUAAAAAAAGUAAUACAAAAUAUAUAUUAAUAAAAUUAAUUAAUUAGUUAAUUAGUUAAAUUAUUAAUUAAUCUUAAUUAAACUAAUGAACUAGAUUAGUUAAUUUAAUCAGUAGUUAGGUAAAUGUGUGUAUGACAGGGGGCCCCAACCCUGUUGACCAGUCAAACUUUGACUGGUCAACUGGGUCCCCCUGGCCCGCAUGUCACCCUCUGGUACACUUCUGUGUACACAGAUCUGGGUGCACAUAGCAUUUGAGCUAUUUAAUUUCGAAUUAAUAACAAAUUCAGAAUAUUGUUUAAAUUUAUGAAAAAUCGUAGAAAUUAAUCUGUAACUCGGAUGAAAAGUUUUUAUACAUGAAAGUUGCUCAGAACGACGAGGCGAAUCGGAAUACGCGGUCCGUUCAUGUGUCACAUGCCCCUAUCACAGCGAACAUCGAACUUUUCCCCUCCGGUUCGUCUGUCCGAAAAUGCCUAACUCCGGGAAAACUUUCCGGAUGUUAUUCCCCUUCGCCGGUAUCGUCUAGCACUGCGUUAGAACCACCCUAGCCCUGCGUGUUACCCGUCAUGCAUCUGUGUUGCAUCUGUUUGCAUUAUAUUUACUAUUUCUUGCUCCUCUUCUUUCUGGUAGACACCGAGACCGCUGCUGAUGCCCCUGGGAUCGACUACGUCGACGAUGACCCCUCUUCCCUUUCAGCGGAGCUUCCAGGCAAGCCCCCCCUUUGAUCAUCCCGAUAUCGCCCAUUCCAUUCUCUCAUGCUUGCAUUAGAUUUUGCUACUUAUAUUGUUUGCUCCUAUUCUGAUGCAUAGCCUGCUUUUGUAACCUGCUCAUUGUACCUUACCUGCUUAUCCUAAACUGCUUAGUAUAGGUUGGUUAGUGAUCCAUCAGUGACCCCCACCUUGUCCUUGUUGCCCUGCUUCAUCUUUGAUGACUCGAUCAACGUGAUCGAUGACCAGAGCCUGACACCUCACAUCACAUCACGCCCUUUUUGUUGCUCGACUCUGCAGAGCUACUAUCGAGUGCCGAGGGUGAUCCCUCAUAACGCACUCCUGGUGGUAAUUCUGUAGUGUAGCUAUUCAGUCGUGGUCAUCGAGGGUGAUUUCCUCUUUCACCAUUUCUGAUACGGCUCUGCCGUGCAACACCUCAAGUGUCAACCUCGAGGGUGGCCCCUCUUACGUUCACCUUGAUGAUUACAUUGAGUGGAAUCCACCGGGGUGAUUCCUCGGGUUUUCCCCUUGAUGUUUGGACACACGGUUACCUUAACUUUACUUGAGACCAUUGUUGAAGUCGGGUCGGCCCUGAGGGGUACCCGCGAGUUGAUGUGAAAGUCGGGUGGGCCCGUUGAGCACCCGCGAGUUUUCUACGUGGCACGGCCGGGCAGUCUGGGCCCUUGCCGUAAGUCCAUGAGACGGGGCGACGGGGUCACAUUAUCGUGAGUCUCUGCUCGUCUCCGCGAGCCCCCAAUGCACUAACAGGUUUGGGUAUUUUUUCUGAGUUGGCCUCUGGCCUUUACGCACCAACCACCACGCGAGAAUAGUUAUGGGCCUCGACGUCGUAGUAUCAGCCGAAGCUUUGUGAGACGUCCAGUUCAGCAUUGCGGCACGGCUGGGCCGGCACCAACCUGUAGUGGUGGAGCCUGGACCCGCCCUGCAUGUAACGACCCGGAAUGCAACGGGCGAUGGGCCCAGACCCCGGAGUGCUUAGGAUGUAGACCGGCGGGGACCUCUCUGCUAAGCCUAGGUAGGGCUACGACGUGUUGAUUUUCCGAGGCCGGGCAUUGACCCAGAAAAGUGUGUCCGGCCAGAGUAAUCAAGCGUGUUGGAAAACGUGGUGCACCCCUGCAGGGAAGAUAUAUACUCAAAUACCGUGUCCACGGUAAUGGACGUCCAGACUUGUAUCCCGAUCUUAUAUAACUAGAAAUGGAUACUUGAGACAUGAGAUGGUUAUGUGGCUCCGGGAUUGCUUUCUCGUAGGUAGUCAAGGAAGGAUCUCUGGGCGUUAAUGCUACAACAUGUUUGUUAAAUAUAAACUGCUAUUCUUUACUCUUCUACAUGCUGCAAGAUGCUUGGAGCUGCUUGAAGAUGCUAGUCUUCGAUAGGCUAGGCCUUCCCUUCUAUUCUGGCAUUCUGCAGUUCUGUCCACAGAUACAACCCUUCCAUUUGAUACCAAUGCGUACUUAGUAUAGAUCUGAUGCUUGCGAGUACUUUGGAUGAGUACUCACGGUUGCUUUGCUUCCCCUUUCGCCCCUUCUUUCUUCUUUCUGGUUGUUGCAACCAGAUGGUGGACCCCAGGAGUCAGAUGCCACCCCCGCCGACUACGACUACUACCCUGCGGGUGCCUACUACUAUGUGGAGACCGCCGACGACCAGGAGUAGUUAGGAGGUCCCAGGCAGGAGGCCUUGCCUCUUCGAUCGUGUUGCUUUUGGUGCUAGCCUUCUUAAGACAUCCUUGUUUAACCUAUGUCUGUACUCAGAUAUUGUUGCUUCCGAUGACGCUUGUAUUCGAGCUUCUGUAUUCGAGCCCUCGAGGCCCCUGGCUUGUAAUAUGAAGCUUGUAUUAUUUCAAUUAGUGUUUAGAGUUGUGUUGUGAUAUCUUCCCGUGAGUCCCUGAUCUUGAUCGUACACGUUUGCGUGUAUGAUUUGUGUACGGUCGAAUCGGGGGCGUCACAAGUUGCUAUCGGAGCCGACUGCAUGUAGGAACCCCCUUUCCAACUCCUUGGCCGAAGUUGAGUCUAGUCUUUGAAAAACCGAUUUACUAACAUGGCUGUGUGGUUUCCGGGCCCACAUCGCCAUUGGGUGGUAUUAGGAUCUUUUACUCCUCGACCUUUACUCUGGGAUUCUGAUCUCUCUUCUACUCGGGUUAAAUGAUUUUACUAAAUCUAACAUUAGGAUCUCAUGAUCACAUCCACCCAGAGAUUUGUAUUACCCUUUUCUCGAAUUGGGAGCCAAGUUCUGCUUCACAAUAUUCACUGACCGCAGGAUCCUCUUGUCGAGGGCACCCUACGUCAUCACUUGCUAAUCCCUCACUCCAUAGGUUUUCCCUGACAUUGAUGUAGCCUUCGCUAUGUCCCGUUGUUGUAUCCCUCCAUCGCGUGCACGCGUGCCACCUAGCAUGUCUGGGAUGUUUCUCUUGUCCGAACUCAUUCGAACAUCGUGUAACUGGCUCUAUAUAUGUAUCAGUAUGUCUUUAAUGACUACUGCCUUGUACAUACCGCGCCUUUGCUCGAUGUUCAAAUUACAUCAUGAAUAACUCCAUACACCUACUCCACCCCUUGUUAAACCGCUUCCUCAUGUUUUAAGCAGGAUGGUUAGACCCGCUAGUUAUGGCCGUGGUGGCGACAAUCCACCAUCGCCCAAAUUCAUGGCCGGAAUGAGACAACAGUUUGAUGCUAAAUCGAGUUCAUGGUAGGAUUUAUGGCUCAGUUCCCGCGCCCAAAUAUGAAUCAGCAACCCGCCCCAGUGACACUGCAAGACUUUGCACGUCUCAACCCUAUAAUCUACCGCAGCUCAACUCAGUCCCUUACUGCUGAUGAUUGGCUCUGUGACAUCACUUUCGAGUUGGAGUCGGCUGUUGUAGCCCCUGCCAACUAUGUCACCUUCGCGGCUUAUUACCUGAAAGGUCCCGCUGCUCAAUGGUGGGACAACCACAAGCAUUCCUUACCCGUUGAAACUGCCAUCACUUGGCCAAAAUUUCCAGCUGCAUCCUGUGGUCCAAAGUUGAACCACCAUGGUUAGUCACAACGUCCCCGUUGAAGUUGAAGGGCUGAAAUUCCAUGUUUCCCCCAUUGUUUUGAAGUCGUCCAAUAUCGACCUCAUUCUGGGCAUGGAAUGGAUGAAAGCACAUACUGCUUCUAUCAUUUGCACUACUAAAACUGUCUAUCUACUGCAUCAUUCGAGUGAGAUAGUAAGCUAAGAGGCUCAUCUUGUUCGAAAUACCGAAGCACAGAUUUAUUCCUUGAACGCGUAAACACUUCUCCUCUUGUGAGAAUUGGAAACGCUCCAGUCGUUUGUGAAUUCCAGGAUAUCUUUCGAGAAGAACUACCCAGUCCAUGGCCUUGAACUUGAUGCAGUUAAGUUUGCACUGAAAUUGUGGCAACAUUUCCUUCUUGGUAAUCGUUGCGAGAUCUUUACCGGUCAUCAAAGUCUGAAGUAUUUGUUUACUCAGCUAGAUCUGUAUCUCCGAAAGCAGCGAUGUAUGGAAGCCAUCAUAGACUAUGACUAUGGUAUUUCUUAUACCGCUGGGAAGGCUAAUGUCAUGGCCGAUGUCCUGAUCGCAUGUCUUAUUGCAACAAUCCCAUGGCUUCUAAAGCUCAACCCCUGCAAGAUGAUCUCACUUACAGAGAGCAUCAGGUCCGCGUUCUCGGUCAAACUGAACAUCGCACCGUGAGAGGGCUUUCAAAAUUCUAAAAGGUUGAGUGGUGAAAUCAUUCUGAAGAUGAAGCCACUUGGGAACUCGAGGGUCGUCUUUGAGAUGAAUACCCCGCUUUUGUUUCCUUCUACCUCCUAAAACUCGGGGCGAGAUUUCUUGUAGUGGAAGAGAAUUGUGACGCUCGGAUAAUUAAGCUACAGUAAUCCCAUGUUAAUGGUGCCAUGUCAUCACAUUACUAUUGCUAAUCCUCACUUAUCCAAAUCAUGAUUCAAAUUCAAAUUCAAAUUAAUGUCCAAAGUUCAAAUUUCUCAAACAUGCAAAAUAAAAUGUUCAAAGUGUGGCAAAUAUUCCAUAACUAAUUAUGGUGGUGACCCAACACUUUUGUGAAGUACUUAAAUGCCCUUUUGCGAAUAAAAUAGUGACUUAGAAAAUUAAUUAAAUGCCUUUUAUAAUUUCUAAAAUAGCAAACUACUUUAAGUAAAGUCCAAACUUUUUGUGGCACUCUAUAUAAUUGCAUCUCUAAUUGCGGGCCAAGUCUCAUUUUUUCUUGGAGGUCAUUUGCUAUUUGAAAAUGAAUUAUAACAGAAGCUAUAAAAGAAAAAUAUGGCAGAAAAGAAAAGGAGGAGGACCUAAGCUACUGGGCUUGUUAGCCCACCUAACUAAAGGCCGGCCCACAUACCCCUCCUCCCUCCUCCUGUUCAUGGGGAGGGGGCCGUGGCAGCCAUCCACGGUGCCUUGCCGCGGUGGCAGCCAUCGGUCGGCUCCUCCCCCUACAUCUACCACGGCACCCCCCAUCGACCCCUCUGUCGAACCCUAGUCUCCCCCACUCCCUCUCCCUCUCGCUCCUCUCCCCUCCAGAUCCGCCGCACCCUAACGGGGAGGUCAACGCGCCCCGCCGUCAGCGCACUCUGGCGCUACCCCGAGCUGCGCCAGGACGUCUGGCUCCUCCGCCGUCGUCGUCUACAUCUCCUCAUCACGCUGGAUGGAGCCGAGCCGCUCCAUCACCGCCAACACCUCCGUCUUCUACCUCGGGCGGCUGAAAUCGCUGCGGACUGCUCGUCGUCUCCGGACCUUCCCCAGGACUUCUCUGCAACGCCGGUGAGCUCCGGCUCCCUUCUCUCCAUUGGCGCCUUCCUCCGCGUUCGUAGCCGUAUUCGUCGUAGUUACCGUACCUGCCGCCGUGGUCGAGCUCGGUUGCCAUGGCCAAAGCUAUGCAUCUGCGCGCGCGCGCCCGCCCCUGACCCCGCGGCUACCUGCCUCUGCGCCCACACCGUCGUUGCUCGCCGCACGCUGCUAGCUGCUCCGCUCGCCAUGCCUCGCAUCGCCCCUGCCGCGUAGUCCUGCUCGCCCCUGCUUCCGCUUCCUCUGCCCCGCCGCAGCCGGACCUGCCCGAUACGGCUGCUCGACCUGCUGUUGCUGCUGCCACGGCCCCGCACAGCCACGCGCGUGCCCAGCCACCGCCGCGCCCACGCCCGGUGCCCGCUUGUCAGCCCCGCACCGGCACCCGCCCUUGCUGCUCUGCGCUGCUGCAGCUUAUGAUGCUAACCGCCGCCGCCUGCAGCUCGUCUGAGCUCCUGCUCGCGCGCCCGCCUUCGCUUCCCACGCGUGCUCGUCGGGGCCCGUAGCCCCCACUGCCGUCGCCGCCCCCACUGCUCCGCCCGCGAUGCCCAGGCCGCGCCUGUUCGCCCCCCUCCUGCCGCGCUUGCCUGGCNNNNNNNNNNNNNNNNNNNNNNNNNNNNNNNNNNNNNNNNNNNNNNNNNNNNNNNNNNNNNNNNNNNNNNNNNNNNNNNNNNNNNNNNNNNNNNNNNNNNNNNNNNNNNNNNNNNNNNNNNNNNNNNNNNNNNNNNNNNNNNNNNNNNNNNNNNNNNNNNNNNNNNNNNNNNNNNNNNNNNNNNNNNNNNNNNNNNNNNNNNNNNNNNNNNNNNNNNNNNNNNNNNNNNNNNNNNNNNNNNNNNNNNNNNNNNNNNNNNNNNNNNNNNNNNNNNNNNNNNNNNNNNNNNNNNNNNNNNNNNNNNNNNNNNNNNNNNNNNNNNNNNNNNNNNNNNNNNNNNNNNNNNNNNNNNNNNNNNNNNNNNNNNNNNNNNNNNNNNNNNNNNNNGCUCGCUGGUGCUGGCCGCCCCCCCCCGACCUCACCGGCUGCCGGCGCCCCGCCGCGCCCUGGUGGCCAUCGCCGGCCACGGCCUCGCCCGUGUGUUGGGGCGGCUGCCCACGCCCACGCCCUCUUGCCCGAUAGCCAGCGCCCGCUAUGGCCUUUGGCCCAAUGCCAGGUGGGCCCCAGCCAUGUAAAAAAAAGUAAUACAAAAAAUAUAUUAAUAAAAUUAAUUAAUUAAUUAGUUAAAUUAUUAAUUAACUUAAUUAAUUAAUCUUAAUUAAACUAAUGAACUAGAUUAGUUAAUUUAAUCAGUAGUUAGGUAAAUGUGUCUAUGACAGGGGGGCCCACCCCUGUUGACCAGUCAAACGUUGACUGGCCAACUGGGUCCCCCUGGCCCGCAUGUCACCCUUUGGUACACUUCUGUGUACACAGAUCUGGGUGCACAUAGCAUUUGAGCUAUUUAAUUUCGAAUUAAUAACAAAUUCAGAAUAUUGUUUAAAUCUUUGAAAAACGUAGAAAUUAAUCCGUAACUCGAAUGAAAAGGUUUUAUACAUGAAAGUUGCUCAGAACGAGGAGGCGAAUCGGAAUACGCUGUCCGUUCAUCUGUCACAUGCCCCUAUCACAGCGAACAUCGAACUUUUCCCCUCCGGUUCGUCAGUCCGAAAAUGCCUAACUCCGGGAAAACUUUCCGGAUGUUAUUCCCCUUCGCCGGUAUCGUGUAGCACUGCGUUAGAACCCCCCUAGCCCUGCGUGUUACCCGUCAUGCAUCUGUGUUGCAUCUGUUUGCAUUAUAUUUACUGUUUCUUCCCCCUCUUCUCUCCGGUAGACCCCGAGACCGCUGCUGAUGCCCCUGUGAUCGACUACGUCGACAACGACCCCUCUUCCCUUUCAGCAAAGCUUCCAGGCAAGCCCCCCCUUUGAUCAUCCCGAUAUCGCCCAUUCCAUUCUCUCAUGCUUGCAUUAGAUUUUGCUACUUAUAUUGUUUGCUCCUAUUCUGAUGCAUAGCCUGCUUUUGUAACCUGCUCAUUGUACCUUACCUGCUUAUCCUAAACUGCUUAGUAUAGGUUGGUUAGUGAUCCAUCAAUGACCCCCACCUUGUCCUUGUUGCCCCUGCUUCAUCUUCGAUGACUCGAUCAACGUGAUCGAUGACCAGAGCAUGACACCUCAGAUCACAUCACGCCCUUUUUGUUGCUCGACUCUGCAGAGCUACUAUCGAGUGCCGAGGGUGAUCCCUCAUAACGCACCCCUGAUGAUAAUUCUGUAGUGUAGCUAUUCGGUCGUGGUUAUCGAGGGUGAUUUCCUCUUUCACCAUUCCCGAUACGGCUCUGUCGUGCAACACCUCAAGUGUCAACCUCGAGGGUGGUCCCUCUUACGUUCACCUUGAUGAUUACAUUGAGUGGAAUCCACCGGGGGUGAUUCCUCGGGUUUUACCCUUGAUGUUUGGACACACGGUUACCUUGACUUUACUUGAGACCAUUGUUGAAGUCGGGUCGGCCCUGAGGGAUACCGGCGAGUUGAUGUGAAAGUCAGGCGGGCCCGUUGAGCACCCGCGAGUUUUCUACGUGGCACGGUCGGGGAGUCUGGGCCCUUGCCGUAAGUCCAUGAGACGGGGCGACGGGGUCACAUUAUCGUGAAUCUCUACUCGUCUCCGCGAGCCCCAAAUGCACUAACAGGUUUGGGUAUUUGUUCUGAGUUGGCCUCUGGCCUUUACGCACCAACCACCACGCGAGAAUAGUUAUGGGCCUCGACGUCGUAGUAUCAGCCGAAGCUUUGUGAGACGUCUCGUUCAGCAUUGCGGCACGGCUGGGCCGGCACCAUCCUGUAGUGGUGGAGCCUGGACCCGCCCUGCACGUAACGACCCGGAGUGCAACGGGCGAUGGGCCCAGACCACGGAGUGCUUAGGAUGUAGACCGGCGGGGACCUCUCUGCUGAGCCUAGGUAGGGCUACGACGUGUUGAUUUUCCGAGGCCGGGCAUUGACCCAGAAAAGUGUGUCCGGCCAGAGUAAUCAAGCGUGUUGAAAAACGUGGUGCACCCCUGCAGGGAAGAUAUAUAUUCGAAUACCGUGUCCACGGUAAUGGACGUUCAGACUUGUAUCCCGAUCUUAUAUAACUAGAAAUGGAUACUUGAGACAUGGGAUGGUUAUGUGGCUCCGGGAUUGCUUACUCGUAGGGAGUCGAGGAAGGAUCUCUGGGUGUUAAUGCUACAACAUGCUUGUUAAAUAUAAGCUGCAAGAUGCUUGGAGCUGCUUGAAGAUGCUAGUCUUUGAUAGGCUAGGCCUGCCCCUCUAUUCUGGCAUUCUGCAGUUCAGUCCACAGAUACAACCCUUCCAUUUGAUACUAAUGCAUACUUAGUAUAGAUCUGAUGCUUGCGAGUACUUUGGAUGAGUACUCACGGUUGCUUUGCUUCCCCUUUCGCCCCUUCUUUCUUCUUUCUGGUUGUUGCAACCAGAUGGUGGACCCCAGGAGUCAGAUGCCACCCCGGCCGACUAUGACUACUACCCUGAGGGUGCCUACUACUAUGUGGAGACCGCCGACGACCAGGAGUAGUUAGGAGGUCCCAGGCAGGAGGCCUUGCCUCUUCGAUCGUGUUGCUUUUGGUGCUAGCCUUCUUAAGGCAUCCUUGUUUAACCUAUGUCUGUACUUAGAUAUUGUUGCUUCCGCUGACGCUUGUAUUCAAGCUUCUGUAUUCGAGCCCUCGAGGCCCCUGGCUUGUAAUAUGAAGGUUGUAUUAUUUCAAUUUGUGUUUAGAGUUGUGUUGUGAUAUCUUCCCGUGAGUCCCUGAUCUUGAUCGUACACGUUUGCGUGUAUGAUUGGUGUACGGUCGAAUCGGGGUGUCACAGUGGUGCCCACCCAGGUGCCCCCUCCAGUGGUUCUUAGCUCCAAAAAUUCUCUUUAUUGAUAUAAAGAAAUCCUCGCAAAGUCUCG